This 232-nucleotide long non-coding RNA is filed under the name Prunus persica (peach). Its description in RNAcentral is "long non-coding RNA (PPER_LNC007594)". The record is from RNAcentral. Lineage: Eukaryota; Viridiplantae; Streptophyta; Magnoliopsida; Rosales; Rosaceae.
AAAAACUAAAAAAACAAAACAAAACAAAAAAAAACAAAAGUUGUAUACUUCUGACUUGCUAUGUUUUUUGUUAUCUUCUUCAGUUGAUGCUUGAAAGGGUCGCAGGUGGAGAUGUCUAUUUGGCAUAGUAGUCGAAUCAUAUGCUUAGAUAUGAAAUCAAGUUUUCUUGGAAUACUCUUUUUUAUUUUAUUUAGAGUGUUGCUAAACGAACCCUAAAAUUAACUGAGUACAC